AAUGGAUAGCGCAUUGGACUUCU
RNAcentral lists this non-coding RNA (23 nucleotides) under Xenopus tropicalis (tropical clawed frog). Lineage: Eukaryota; Metazoa; Chordata; Amphibia; Anura; Pipidae. The record is from RNAcentral. RNAcentral also lists the same sequence under 1 other name.